Molecule: ribosomal RNA, 301 nt
Filed under: uncultured bacterium
Lineage: Bacteria
Description: partial 16S ribosomal RNA
Rfam family: Bacterial small subunit ribosomal RNA
Source: RNAcentral
CAGUCGCCACGGGAAUACGUAGGUGGCAAGCGUUGUCCGGAAUUAUUGGGCGUAAAGGGCUCGCAGGCGGUUUCUUAAGUCUGAUGUGAAAGCCCCCGGCUCAACCGGGGAGGGUCAUUGGAAACUGGGAAACUUGAGUGCAGAAGAGGAGAGUGGAAUUCCACGUGUAGCGGUGAAAUGCGUAGAGAUGUGGAGGAACACCAGUGGCGAAGGCGACUCUCUGGUCUGUAACUGACGCCGAGGAGCGAAAGCGUGGGGAGCGAACAGGAUUAGAUACCCCAGUAGUCCCUGUCUCUUAUAC